RNAcentral lists this ribosomal RNA (481 nucleotides) under uncultured bacterium. Its description in RNAcentral is "partial 16S ribosomal RNA". It matches the Rfam family "Bacterial small subunit ribosomal RNA", at positions 28 to 507 of the family's 1533-position model. The record is from RNAcentral.
GACGAACGCUGGCGGCGUGCUUAACACAUGCAAGUCGAACGGGAUCCGGGCUUUCGGGUUUGGUGAGAGUGGCGAACGGGUGAGUAACACGUGAGUAACCUGCCCCCUUCUUUGGGAUAACGUCGGGAAAUCGGCGCUAAUACUGGAUAUUCUUGCUGCAUCGCAUGGUGUGGUUUGGAAAGGGUUUCUGGUGGGGGAUGGGCUCGCGGCCUAUCAGCUUGUUGGUGGGGUGAUGGCCUACCAAGGCUUUGACGGGUAGCCGGCCUGAGAGGGUGUCCGGCCACACUGGGACUGGGACACGGCCCAGACUCCUACGGGAGGCAGCAGUGGGGAAUAUUGCACAAUGGGCGCGAGCCUGAUGCAGCGACGCCGCGUGAGGGAUGACGGCCUUCGGGUUGUAAACCUCUUUCAGUAUGGAACAAGGAUCCUUCUUUUGGGGGGUUUGAGGGUACGUGCAGAAGAAGCGCCGGCUAACUACGUG